RNAcentral lists this unclassified non-coding RNA (514 nucleotides) under Hevea brasiliensis (rubber tree). The record is from RNAcentral. Lineage: Eukaryota; Viridiplantae; Streptophyta; Magnoliopsida; Malpighiales; Euphorbiaceae.
CCGCCGACAGGACUACUAUCUUCUUCAUGCUGUAGAAGCAGGACUGGUUCCGAUUCCGGCUCUGGGUCCGGACUAAGCGGUUUCGGAACAGGCGCCUGGUGUGAAGGGUCUAAGCGUAUCUCCUGGAUUUCCUUGGAGACGCUGGGGAUUGUGGGGUCGUUGAUAGACGACUUGAAUUUGGAGUGUGCAGCAGUGUUGUUAGUCUUGUUGCGUUUAGAAGUGAACCAGAGAGAAAUAAGGAAAAGAACAAGAACUAUAGCGGCCCCAACACAGACACCAAUAACCACCCAUAAACGCAAACCGAAGAUUGAGGUUCUCUUGGACAUCUGAUCGUUCAAGAAAGAAUACUUAGACAUUUGUUUUUCUUUUUUCUUCUUCUUCUACUUACACUUGUUGUCUGUUCCUUGCGGCAGAACUCACACAGAAACCAUUGUCGCGUAAACAGAAGAAAGAAGAAAGAAGAAAGAGAUGCAGAGCAAUAAGUAUAGAGCAGUGGUAUAAUCAAGAAUGGUUU